GGGAGGUGACAGUUGAUAGUUGUGAAAGUUGUUGUCUCUUUGAGAUUCGUGAAAUACGCAGCUUUUUAGAAUGCCUCUGAAAGAACAAAGAAGUCACUGGCACUCGACUAUAAAAUGCUAAAAGUUUCUGGUUCCAACAGCACACAGCCAGCAUCAGCCAUUUAAAGUUUUGGCAACUGAAACUAUAAGUCACAAGGCAUUAGAUGCAGAUAUAUACAGUGCAAUUCCAACAGAAAAAGUGGAUGGAACAUGUUGUUAUGUUACUACCUAUAAAGAUCAGCCAUACCUUUGGGCUCGACUAGAUAGAAAACCCAACAAACAAGCUGAAAAAAGAUUUAAAAAUUUUCUACAUUCAAAAGAAAACGCAAAAGAAUUUUUUUGGAAUGUUGAGGAGGACUUCAAACCAGCUCCAGAGUGCUGGAUACCAGCAAAGGAAAUAGAACAAAUAAAUGGGAACCCAGUGCCUGAUGAAAAUGGACACAUUCCUGGUUGGGUACCAGUAGAGAAAA
This 509-nucleotide small RNA is filed under the name Pongo abelii (Sumatran orangutan). Its description in RNAcentral is "processed transcript". Lineage: Eukaryota; Metazoa; Chordata; Mammalia; Primates; Hominidae. The record is from RNAcentral.